This 74-nucleotide transfer RNA is filed under the name Promethearchaeota archaeon. RNAcentral's name for it is "Candidatus Lokiarchaeota archaeon (anaerobic digester metagenome) tRNA-Glu". It matches the Rfam family "tRNA". Rfam says of the family: Transfer RNA (tRNA) molecules are approximately 80 nucleotides in length. Lineage: Archaea; Promethearchaeati; Promethearchaeota. The record is from RNAcentral.
GCUCUGGUAGUGUAGAUGGCCCAGCAUAGAAGGCUUUCACCCUUUUGACCCGGGUUCAAAUCCCGGCCAGAGCA